GCGUCUGAUCCGAGGCGGCCGCCUUCUCCCCGCGCGUGGUGCCUCCUGGGGUGACCGCUGCUCCGUCUCCGCCGCAGGCGCCCCCGGGCCACUCUCCCGUACCGCCUGGACCAGGAGUUGUGUUUCUGGGGCUGCCGGGGCCCGGCCUUGCCGCCUGUCGCCACCCGCAGCAGCCUGGGCGAUUACUGGCUGAGCCCGCAGCGCCGGCGCCCACCGGGCGCCACCUGGCGCUGGCCCGCUCGCAAUAUGCUGCUACUGCCAGGGGCCACCGGGCUGGCGGAUAUACCCUCGGCGCGCUGGCCCAGCUGCUACGGCGUUCGCCCGCGCCUCACGUGGAAGCACCGGUGGCAGAAUAUUAACUACCAGUAUCUGGGCAAGAGGAAGAGACAUCUAGUUCCUCUGCGCCCGUGAGAGCCGCCAACAGAUAUUUAUGGAGCCCCCCCUCAUUUGGAAAGUGAACUUGAGGCAGAAGAGAAUGGCUGGAGGGGCUGGACUUGUGUAGAGAGUCAAGCAAGAAGGCUGAUGAAGUAGCCCAGGUCCAGAUGAGGAGACUGAGGCUCAGAAGAGAGGGCCUAGAGCCACACAGCUGGGAAGUGACAAAGCCAACUCUUCACCCCUACAGUUGCCUCAACACAACAAUCCCUCACUGAAUCCUUGCCACAACCGGAAGUGGUACCCGAUGUCCUGGUUUUACAGCAGGUGUUGUGAUGCUCAGCAAGAGGAAGGGACUUGUCCAGGUCACAAAGCCCGAAGGUUGCAGCCGUUUGGAUCCAAAUCAUUUGGGGGGAACAGGUGAUGGGGCAAGAACAGUGUGGAGAGGAAGGGGUGGGACUGGCAACUGGACAAAAAGAGUGUUUCAGUUUCCCUUUUAAAGGGGCUUCCCCCAAAAUGGGGGAUUUUGGCUGGAAAGUUGUUAGUAAUCCACAUUCCACUGGUUUGGCCAUCUCCGCCUCAAAGGCUCCCAGGAACUGAAAAGAAACUGAAAGUUGGGAAGAGGGGAGGGGAGGAGGGAAGGGAGAGGCUGGGGACAGAGUAACUGGGUUGAGUUUCUGGUGACCUCACUGAGCCUGGGGGAGGCAGGCAGGCGAGCUGGGAUUACACACCUCUUAGCUAUUGGAAAAAUUGAGCCCCAGAGAGACACCCCUAUUUGUGGCUGGGUCCUUUGUGCAGCCACCCCCAACACACACAGACACAGACACACACACACACACACACACACACACACACAGACACAGACACACACACACACACACACACACACACACACACACACACACACACGGCGUGGGGUGGGGGCAGGGGGAACCAGGGGAAGAGGGAGGAAAAUGGAGAAACGAAAGCUCUGGGCAGGAGUGUCCUCUGUGGUGCAAUGGAAUUGGUGGCAUCUCUGCAGUGUCAGAUUUAGGUUCAAACCCCAGCCCAGCACAGUGGGGUUAAAAGAUCCAACAGUGCCGCAGCUACGGUAUGGCUUGGAUCUGAUCCCUGACCAGGGAAC
This 1495-nucleotide long non-coding RNA is filed under the name Sus scrofa (pig). RNAcentral describes it as "lncRNA (ENSSSCG00060057729.1)". The record is from RNAcentral. Lineage: Eukaryota; Metazoa; Chordata; Mammalia; Artiodactyla; Suidae.